This is an RNA transcript of Galeopterus variegatus (Sunda flying lemur), 2347 nucleotides long. It is a transcript of the gene named decapping mRNA 1B, with no coding region annotated. The record is from RefSeq and is a predicted model, not a curated record. NCBI's taxonomy places the organism in Eukaryota, Metazoa, Chordata, Mammalia, Dermoptera, Cynocephalidae. The transcript has 11 exons.
GCCGGUUGCGAGGUGGCUCGCUCGUUCUGCGAUCUAUUGAGAGUGGCUUCUGAGAGCCCACUGUUGGUGUCGGGCGGGAGGGAAGAUGGCGGCGGGCGGCCUGGUGGGGAAGGGGCGCGACAUCAGCCUAGCGGCCCUGCGGCGCCACGACCCGUAUAUCAACAGCAUCGUGGACGUGGCCAGCCAGGUGGCUCUGUACACUUUCGGCCAUCGGGCCAACGAGUGGGAGAAGACUGAUGUGGAAGGAACCUUAUUUGUUUACACAAGGUCUGCUUCUCCAAAGCACGGAUUCACCAUUAUGAAUAGGCUGAGCAUGGAAAAUAGGACAGAACCCAUUACUAAAGACCUGGAUUUCCAACUCCAGGAUCCUUUCCUUCUCUACAGAAAUGCCAGAUUGUCCAUUUAUGGAAUUUGGUUUUAUGAUAAGGAAGAAUGCCAAAGAAUUGCAGAGCUUAUGAAGAACCUAACUCAAUAUGAACAGUUGAAAGCCCAUCAGGGAGCUGGAGCAGGAAUGUCCCCCAUGAUCCUCAAUUCAGGAGAGGGCAAAGAAGUAGAUAUAUUACGAAUGCUCACCAAGGCCAAAGAUGAAUACACAAAGUGUAAAACCUGUUCUGAGCCAAAACAGAUAACCAGUUCAUCUGCCAUCUAUGACAACCCCAAUCUCAUCAAACCAAUUCCAGUGAAACCCAGUGAAAACCAGCAACGGCGCACACCUCAGCCCAGUCAGGUCUUAGACCCUGAACCCCAACACUUAUCCUUGACAGCUCUGUUUGGGAAGCAGGGCAAAGCUACAUGUCAGGAAACUGUGGAGCCUCCACAGACCCUCCACCACCAGCAGCAGCCAGAGAAGCUUCCGAUUAGGCAUGGGGUUGUUCGCUCUCUGUCCUAUGAGGAACCCAGAAAACAGUCGCCGCCCCUGGAGAAGCAGCUCUGUCCAGCCAUCCAGAAACUCAUGGUCAGGAAUGCAGACCUCCACCCAGUGUCAGAGCUGCCUGAACACCGGCCCUGUGAAAACGGCAAUACCCAUUCUUCUGGGGAAGUUUUUACUAGACCUGUCCAGCCAGGGUCUCCUCAUAUGAUUGGGACUUCUCAUGGUGUACGAAGUGCUUCCAAAGCCCAGAACCUGUUAGAGAAGCUUCAGAGCACCCCAGGGGCAGUGAACAAGUAUGACCCUAGUGCACGAGCAUCUGCCAGCUCAGCUGCCCCAAACUGCAGCAGAACUCUCCGUGCUGCCACCCUGGUGGCUCCAGUAAAGGGUUUGGCUCAGCCACAACUGGUAUAUUUCAAUGGCUCCCUUCCGCCUCAGGCAUUAGGACAUCAGGCUCAUGGAAAAGAACAGUCUACACUCACAAGACAAAUGCUCCCCCUCUCUGGCAAUCAGACUAGCAGUUCUGGAGUGAUCUCCCCUCAGGAGCUACUUAAAAAGCUUCAGACUGUGCAGCAGGAGCAGCAGCUGCAUGCAUCCAACCGACCAGCCUUGGCAGCAAAGUUCCCUGUGGGAACUCAGAGCUGUAGAACAGGGAAACCCUUGGAAUCCUGGAUCAACAAGACAUCCGGCCCAGAAAAGCCGACUCCUCUUUUUCAGGUCAUCUCACCCCAGCACAUCCCUGCUACGGUGGCACCUUCUCUGCUCAUGUCCCCCAGGGCGUUCACACAAUCCACCUCUGCUCCACCAAAGGAGAGGGAGAGUGGGCUCUUGCCCCUGGGAGGCCAGGAGCUACCUGUUGCCUCCACCAGCCUCCUCCUGCCCCUGCAGAGCCCAGAGCCCUCCUGGAUCACCAGCAGCCCACUCACCAAGCUGCAACUUCAGGAAGCACUGCUAUACCUCAUCCAGAACGACGACACCUUCUUAAAUGUAAUCUAUGAAGCCUAUCUCUUCAGCAUGACACAAGCAGCCAUGAAAAAGACUGUGUGAAAGCAAAUCCAUUUAAAACUGGAUUCCAAGUCCUUCUAGAACUCCAGCACAAGGUCAUAAAAUGGAGGAUGGGAAGAAAAUAGGUUUCCUUGCAGUUUCUGCUGCCUAGACUUGGACUUUCAGCUCCAGACCUUUGUUCAGCCACACCAUCGAGCAAAAGGUCUAUCAGAACACCUCCCCCACUCUCCCGCAGGAGGGUACUUUUUCUUCUAAGGAGAAAAGCAUCAAAUAAGUAAAACAAAUAUCAGUUGCAGCACCUAAUUGGAAAAGAUGGCCGUGUGCUGAUGUGAUAGAGGAAUGAAUACGAUCCCAGCAUGGUCAGACCUACACAGCAAGCUUCACUCGGAUCUUUUUAGGUCAACGCCACAGUGAUCUAUUUUGAAAAAUAAUAAAUUCUCCAUUCUUUACUAGAAUAAAUCACUUUGAAAGUGA